CAGCCGCCGCGGGAAUACGAAGGGUGCAAGCGUUAAUCGGAAUUACUGGGCGUAAAGCGUGCGUAGGCGGUUUGUUAAGUCUGCUGUGAAAUCCCCGGGCUUAACCUGGGAACUGCAUUUGUGACUGGCGGGCUAGAGUAUGGCAGAGGGGGGUGGAAUUCCGCGUGUAGCAGUGAAAUGCGUAGAUAUGCGGAGGAACACCGAUGGCGAAGGCAAUCCCCUGGACCUGUACUGACGCUCAUGCACGAAAGCGUGGGGAGCAAACAGGAUUAGAUACCCGGGUAGUCCCUGUCUCUUAUAC
Molecule: ribosomal RNA, 301 nt
Filed under: uncultured bacterium
Lineage: Bacteria
Description: partial 16S ribosomal RNA
Rfam family: Bacterial small subunit ribosomal RNA
Source: RNAcentral